Oncorhynchus tshawytscha (Chinook salmon) is the source of this 460-nucleotide long non-coding RNA. The record is from Ensembl. Lineage: Eukaryota; Metazoa; Chordata; Actinopteri; Salmoniformes; Salmonidae.
GUGUUUCGGGUGUGUGUGUAGUGUGUGUGUGUAGUGUGUGUGUGUAGUGUGUGUGUGUGUAGUGUGUGUGUGUGUAGUGUGUGUGUAGUGUGUGUGUGUAGUGUGUGUGUGUUGUGUGUGUGUAGUGUGUGUGUGUGUGUAGUGUGUGUGUUUCGGGUGUGUGUGUAGUGUGUGUGUGUAGUGUGUGUGUGUGUGUGUGUUGUGUGUGUGUGGUGUGUGUGUAGUGUGUGUGUGUAGUGUGUGUGUAGUGUGUGUGUGUAGUGUGUGUGUGUAGUGUGUGUGUGUAGUGUGUGUGUGUAGUGUGUGUGUGUAGUGUGUGUGUAGUGUGUGUGUAGUGUGUGUGUGUGUAGUGUGUGUGUAGUGUGUGUGUGUGUGUGUAGUGUGUGUGUAGUGUGUGUGUGUAGUGUGUGUGUGUGUGUGUGUGUGUGUGUGUGUGUGUGUGUGUGUAGUGUGUGUAGUG